This 207-nucleotide ribosomal RNA is filed under the name uncultured bacterium. RNAcentral describes it as "partial 16S ribosomal RNA". It matches the Rfam family "Bacterial small subunit ribosomal RNA", at positions 568 to 774 of the family's 1533-position model. The record is from RNAcentral.
CGCGUAGGCGGUUAUUCAGGCCAGAGGUGAAAGCCCGGGGCUCAACCCCGGAACUGCCUUUGAAACUAGAUGACUAGAAUCUUGGAGAGGUCAGUGGAAUUCCGAGUGUAGAGGUGAAAUUCGUAGAUAUUCGGAAGAACACCAGUGGCGAAGGCGACUGACUGGACAAGUAUUGACGCUGAGGUGCGAAAGCGUGGGGAGCAAACA